Molecule: long non-coding RNA, 796 nt
Organism: Hordeum vulgare subsp. vulgare (domesticated barley)
Lineage: Eukaryota; Viridiplantae; Streptophyta; Magnoliopsida; Poales; Poaceae
Exons: 3
Source: RefSeq, a predicted model, not a curated record
UACUCUAACCUAUAUUUCUCGACCGUCCGAUCGAAUCGGAGGGUCCAGAUCAGCCCUAUCCAAACCCACCUACCUAAUUUAAGCAGUCAACCCUAGAUCCUAGGCCGAAUGUCCCAUCCAUCCCUUGUCCGCCGCCACUGUCUUCAUCGGGAUCCACUCCAGAUCCAAUCCCCCAACCAUUGAGCCCCUCCUGAUCCACUUGCAGCAGCCCUGCGCCGGCCUCCCGCGCAUGAGCACGAGCUCGUCCCCGAGCUCCUCCCUGACUCCCUCCCCUAGCUGCUGGAGCUAGCCACCGUGGAUGCCCGUGCAAGCGCCGGACUGUCGCCAGCGAGCACCGCUGCCCAGCCUCGUCGGUCUAGCAGGGGAGCGUUGUGCCCUGCCCUCUCUCUAUCUUUCUUCUUCCCUGCCCUCUCUUUCCUUCUUAUCUGAAACCUCCUGUGUGUCUUGUUUGCUUCAGGCAACAGCAACCGUCAGGGCCGUCAACUCCGGCAGCCUCCCGUCCGCUCCGCCUCAUGCCGAACCACGCCGGAACUGAGCAAAGGCUGCUGCAGCCCCGCCAUGGAUGCCCUCGCCGCCUCGCAACUCGCCGACCGCCGUCGUUCCCCAACGGAUCCGGUCGGCCCUUGGUAGAUCAGCCCAUUCCCGGCCUCCGUCAGCCCCGCCGUUUCCCCUAAGACCCGCGCCGGAGAGCUGCCUGCAGCGCCGCGCCGCCGCAAGCAGAGCCAAGGCCGACCUGCAGUUUUAUUCAGUUGCAGGUACAGGUAAAGGUUACUUGACGCGAGCGCGAUGAUUGUUC